AGGACGAACGCUGGCGGCGUGCUUAACACAUGCAAGUCGAACGGUGAAGGAGAGCUUGCUCUCCGGAUCAGUGGCGAACGGGUGAGUAACACGUGAGUAACCUGCCCUUGACUCUGGGAUAAGCGUUGGAAACGACGUCUAAUACCGGAUACGAGCUUCAGCCGCAUGGCUAGGAGCUGGAAAGAAUUUCGGUCAAGGGAUGGACUCGCGGCCUAUCAGCUAGUUGGUGAGGUAAUGGCUCACCAAGGCGACGACGGGUAGCCGGCCUGAGAGGGUGACCGGUCACACUGGGACUGAGACACGGCCCAGACUCCUACGGGAGGCAGCAGUGGGGAAUAUUGCACAAUGGCGCAAGCCUGAUGCAGCAACGCCGGCGUGGGGGACGAAGGCCGUUCGGUUGUAAACCGUCUUUAGUAGGAAGAAGACGAAGUGACGGUACCUGACGAAGAAAAAGCACCGGACUAACUACGUCGACCAGCGACGACCGACGGUAACUCUGGAGCGGCGUGGA
Molecule: ribosomal RNA, 511 nt
Filed under: uncultured soil bacterium
Lineage: Bacteria
Description: bacterial SSU rRNA
Rfam family: Bacterial small subunit ribosomal RNA
Source: RNAcentral